Molecule: ribosomal RNA, 491 nt
Filed under: uncultured bacterium
Lineage: Bacteria
Description: bacterial SSU rRNA
Rfam family: Bacterial small subunit ribosomal RNA
Source: RNAcentral
CGCUAGCUACAGGCUUAACACAUGCAAGUCGAGGGGCAGCAUUGGAGUAGCAAUACUCAGAUGGCGACCGGCGCACGGGUGAGUAACACGUAUCCAACCUGCCGCUUACUCGGGGAUAGCCUUUCGAAAGAAAGAUUAAUACCCGAUGGUAUAAAGAGUUCGCAUGUUCUCUUUAUUAAAGAAUUUCGGUAAGCGAUGGGGAUGCGUUCCAUUAGAUAGUUGGCGGGGUAACGGCCCACCAAGUCUACGAUGGAUAGGGGUUCUGAGAGGAAGGUCCCCCACAUUGGAACCGAGACACGGUCCAAACUCCUACGGGAGGCAGCAGUGAGGAAUAUUGGUCAAUGGACGAGAGUCUGAACCAGCCAAGUAGCGUGAAGGAUGACUGCCCUAUGGGUUGUAAACUUCUUUUAUAAGGGAAUAAAGUGAGGGACGUGUCCCUUUUUGUAUGUACCUUAUGAAUAAGGAUCGGCUAACUCCGUGCCAGCAGCAGC